UCUGGCCUCUUCUGUGUGGUGAUCAACCCCUACAAGUACCUGCCCAUCUACUCAGAUAACAUCAUAGAGAUGUACAGGGGGAAGAAGAGACACGAGAUGCCCCCUCACAUCUACGCCAUCUCAGAGUCCGCCUACAGAUGCAUGCUCCAAGACCGAGAGGACCAAUCAAUUCUUUGCACAGGUGAAUCUGUGUGGCAAG
Molecule: non-coding RNA, 199 nt
Organism: Salvelinus sp. IW2-2015
Lineage: Eukaryota; Metazoa; Chordata; Actinopteri; Salmoniformes; Salmonidae
Source: RefSeq, a predicted model, not a curated record